Long non-coding RNA from Dama dama (fallow deer), 521 nucleotides. RefSeq lists it as uncharacterized. The record is from RefSeq and is a predicted model, not a curated record. Lineage: Eukaryota; Metazoa; Chordata; Mammalia; Artiodactyla; Cervidae. The transcript is spliced from 3 exons.
GACGCUAAAGAGAGCAGGCUUCAUGCGGUGGCAGUUUAGGGCGUGUUUCCUUGGGGAACGGGAGAGAAAAGUUGAGAGGCUAUGGAAUUGCCAAGGGGGAAAAACAACCACAGGACGACACACCCAGGAGGGAAAACUGAACCUGAGGAACUUCCAGAAAAGACACCUGGAGCAGGUGGAGAUGACAGGACGGUGAUGCAUAAAAGUGACACUCAGCCACUGUCAGCCAUGUGACUUUGGGCUCCUCCUGGUCUCCGCUGUCUCACCCUGAACUGACGUGGAUCAGCCUCUGGACCUCGGCUGCCUCUCUCUUUUGGCCUGGGGAGCCUGCCUCUGAAGCUCCUUAGUAUCUACAACUUUGUCCCUUGGAUUACUGGAUAGUGGUCUCAGCACUUUUCCUUGGACACUUCUCAGCUUAGGAAGGCUGUGUGGUGUAGUGGGUGAAACUGUCAAAGCUCCGGGUUUGAAUCCUGACUCUACCAUUUACUAGCCGGGCAACCUUGAACAAGUCACUUAACCCC